CAGUAGCCGCGGGAAUACAGAGGGUGCGAGCGUUAAUCGGAUUUACUGGGCGUAAAGCGUGCGUAGGCGGCUAAUUGAGUCGGAUGUGAAAUCCCCGAGCUUAACUUGGGAAUUGCAUUCGAUACUGGUUAGCUAGAGUGUGGGAGAGGAUGGUAGAAUUCCAGGUGUAUCGGUGAAAUGCGUAGAGAUCUGGAGGAAUACCGAUGGCGAAGGCAGCCAUCUGGCCUAACACUGACGCUGAGGUACGAAAGCAUGGGGAGCAAACAGGAUUAGAUACCCCGGUAGUCCCUGUCUCUUAUAA
RNAcentral lists this ribosomal RNA (301 nucleotides) under uncultured bacterium. Its description in RNAcentral is "partial 16S ribosomal RNA". It matches the Rfam family "Bacterial small subunit ribosomal RNA", at positions 509 to 809 of the family's 1533-position model. The record is from RNAcentral.